This 251-nucleotide ribosomal RNA is filed under the name uncultured bacterium. RNAcentral describes it as "partial 16S ribosomal RNA". It matches the Rfam family "Bacterial small subunit ribosomal RNA", at positions 525 to 775 of the family's 1533-position model. The record is from RNAcentral.
ACGUAGGGCGCAAGCGUUAUCCGGAUUUAUUGGGCGUAAAGGGCUCGUAGGCGGCUCGUCGCGUCCGGUGUGAAAGUCCAUCGCUUAACGGUGGAUCUGCGCCGGGUACGGGCGGGCUGGAGUGCGGUAGGGGAGACUGGAAUUCCCGGUGUAACGGUGGAAUGUGUAGAUAUCGGGAAGAACACCGAUGGCGAAGGCAGGUCUCUGGGCCGUCACUGACGCUGAGGAGCGAAAGCGUGGGGAGCGAACAG